Molecule: unclassified non-coding RNA, 218 nt
Filed under: Hevea brasiliensis (rubber tree)
Lineage: Eukaryota; Viridiplantae; Streptophyta; Magnoliopsida; Malpighiales; Euphorbiaceae
Source: RNAcentral
GGGAUUUUUAAUUCUUUGUUUGAAUAUCUUGAUGUGGUUAAUUGGAUAGAAUUUGCUAGAAUCAAGGAACCUGCUUAUAUAGAGUUAACCUUUGAAUUUUUGAGUUCCUUCAAAUUGGUUUUUAGGCCGGAUAUAAAAGGGUAUAGGGAUGUCAUUCAAUUUAGAUGUGCUGGCAUUGAAAGAGAACUUGAUAUGGGUUCAUUGAGUGCCAUUUUUGG